GGCAGGUCAGGAGUACAGUAGGUCGUGGUCAGCGCUGACCACGGCGCUUGAAAGAGAAUGAGCGCUCUCAGUCUCUCACAGGCCGAGAGGGACGCGGACAAUGGUGUUCUGCGGCACUACCGUGGGACGCAUUGAAGGGGGAGGUUGAGAUUCAACUGCAGCUUGAAUGAUUGUAUUGGUCGCUCGCGUCUUAGCGUUUCAAAACGUGUUUAGCGCCUCUUCGCCAAGUUGCGGCAGUAACGCGUUACGCCUGUACCGUGGGCCAAGUUGACUGGUUCGCUCUAAGAACUUCGUUGCAACGCUGAGUGAAGAGUACUUAACCUUUCGUAAUGGACACAAAGGAAAACAUGGACACAAAAAGAAAUGCAGGUGAGACAAGCGGUGCCAGGAAUCUUUGUGGUGGGUUUGACACUGACGACAAGUGCUUUCAAAUGGACACAAAGGAAAACAUGGACACAAAAAGAAAUGACUCGACAAGCAGUGCCAGAAUGCCUUGUAAAAGGGAGUUUGACACCGACGACAAGUGCGUUCCUUCAGAAGAGCAGGAAGACGUAAAAGCACCUACAGCAGCUGCUAUGUGAGGCCCCCGCCAGCAGUUGCCACAGUUCUUGCCAAAGCCUCGCCGUCUCCCGCCUUGCUGGAGAUUCGGGUAGAAAUUUCUUGCCUGGUUAUAAAAGCCUUUCACGGUGCAGAGUAUUGUUACGGCGGUGAGAGAAUGAAUGAAAUAAAUAUAUUUACAAAAUAU
Molecule: unclassified non-coding RNA, 745 nt
Filed under: Rhipicephalus microplus (southern cattle tick)
Lineage: Eukaryota; Metazoa; Arthropoda; Arachnida; Ixodida; Ixodidae
Description: zinc finger protein 239-like, transcript variant X2
Source: RNAcentral